Molecule: long non-coding RNA, 228 nt
Organism: Corythoichthys intestinalis (scribbled pipefish)
Lineage: Eukaryota; Metazoa; Chordata; Actinopteri; Syngnathiformes; Syngnathidae
Exons: 3
Source: RefSeq, a predicted model, not a curated record
GCCAAGGAUCAACAGCUGCAGAACCAGACCUUUUUAUCUGUGUUGGCGACCUGUUAGUGUGUGUGCUCAACUGUAUCUAAGUGAACUGGCCAGGUGGUCCUUCACUGCCUUGGGACCAUUCCAACGAAAGGAUGGUGAGCUAGAACUCAAGCCAGGAGCCUGACGGUCCUUUUUCCUUGUCUUCAACACAAGUAAGGGUCUGGUAGGAGGCUCUGCAGCCUGUUUUUC